UGAACCAGACACUUCAUUUAGGGGUAUGGAUAUGAAAGAGAACAGUGGUGUUAGGCUCUGCUUGUCUCUAACCCCAGCUCUACUAGGCAUGUGGCAAAGAAGCUGACAGUUCAGGGGUUGUACCAGAACAGAGCCAAUGAACACAGGUUGGACAUCUGCAGGGAAGCCUCACCCUGAAGGUGGUGGUGUAGGAGGCUGUGGUAGGUGAUUACUUCAGGGUGGAGCCCUCAUCAAGGGGAUUAGUGCCUUUCUGAAAGACAGGCCAGGGAGCAUCCACUGCAUCCCAGCAUGUGAGGACGCAGCAGGCAGAGGCCAUCUGUGCCAGGAGGAGUACUUGCUGCAGACACCAAGUCUAUUGCUCCCUUUGCUAUUGGGCUUUCUAGCUUCCAGAAUAGCCAGGGAUAAUGCUCUUGUUGGCAUGGUGUUCAGAGUGUGGAAUCUGUUCUCAUGGCCCCAAAUGAGGAAGGGGGUGCAAUGGGGAGGUUUGGUGCCCACCAGAGAGCGGCCCUUGCCAGCCUGGCCCUGUGUGGGAAGAGGUGCCCUGGCACCCUCUAGUGAAGGCUGCUGGUUACUGUGACUCAUCCACAAGGACAUUCAUGCCACCCUUCCCAGGAAGAGGAGCGGCCUGCUGAGUAAACAGACCUGGAGGCAGCAGGGAUCCCCGCCAGCACUUGGAGCAUGACUCUGCCUUCCUUUUGUGUGUGAGAACAGGUAGCCAACGAUGACAACCACACGAUGGAAGGGCCAACCAGAACAAACACUGCUCCUGGAGGAAAUGGGUUUGUGAGUCGAAAUUAUCAUCUCAGAGACUUCGGCGGGGAUACUGUAUCCACAAAACCAGAGCAGAAGCUGGGGAAAGGAGAUAGCAGAGAAGGCUGAAUAAAGGAAGGUACUGCUGUCAACAUUAAAAUACUGAGGGGAAGAUGAGAAAUUCAUGCAACACAGUUCCCCAGAAAGAAGAUCCAGAUACAAUUCCCAGCAUGCACACGGUGAGUCACAACUACCUGCGACUCCAGUUCCAGGGGAUCUGAAGCCUUCUUUUGAUUUCCUCAGGUUGGUGCCCAGUCCGAUUGUCAUCAGAGAGGCUUCCUCCUGUAGCUGACGAGAGCAGAGGCAAGUAUUAUUUAGAGCUUGUUGGAACACAACAGAAGAGGGGGAGGAAGGAUUGUAGGACCCAGAGGGCUUGAGGACACCAGACAACAGGGUCCAGAGAAUCAACUAAGCAGGCCCCAGAGGUUCUCACAGAGACUGAAGCAGCAAUCAAGGAGCCUGCGUGGGUCUGUGCGAGGUCCUCUGCAUAUAUUAUGGUUUUUAGCUUGAUGUUCUUGUGCGACUCCUUUCCUGGUGCUACAGAGUUACAAGGGUGAAAAGAAAGCAUGCCUGCUUUAAGCUGUGAGGUUCUGCAGAGCUGCACACCAAAUAAUCACCAACACAAAGCUUCACACAUCAAAAGACUAAUGACACCAAAUGCCACUAAGCAUUUGGAGUUUCAGAAACUGAGAACACUGCUAGUAGUAUAGUCAUCUUGGACGAUGAUAGUGCAAUGUCGUCCCCCCCCCCAUGAAAGAUGUAACCAUUAGCCUCUGAUGUUACAUUUCUACUAGUGUGUGCAUUGCAGAUGAAUACAGAAGAGAUAUUCUUAGCAGCAUUCUCAGAGCCUGUGGUGGUUCAAAUGAGAAGGGCCCCCAUAGGCUCGUAUGUUUGGAUAUGUGUUUCCUGUUUGGGAAUAAUUAGGGGGUGUGGCCUUGUAGGAGGUGUGUCAUCGGGGGUGGGCUUUGAUAUUCCAGCCUUUGAUGUUCCAGCUAGAUCUCUCUCUCUCUCUCUCUCUCUCUCUUCACCUCCCCCUCUUUCUCCCU
Long non-coding RNA from Mus musculus (house mouse), 1856 nucleotides. RefSeq annotates it as predicted gene, 39023. The transcript is spliced from 3 exons. The record is from RefSeq and is a predicted model, not a curated record. NCBI's taxonomy places the organism in Eukaryota, Metazoa, Chordata, Mammalia, Rodentia, Muridae.